This 361-nucleotide ribosomal RNA is filed under the name Staphylococcus aureus. Its description in RNAcentral is "bacterial SSU rRNA". It matches the Rfam family "Bacterial small subunit ribosomal RNA", at positions 57 to 409 of the family's 1533-position model. The record is from RNAcentral. Lineage: Bacteria; Bacillati; Bacillota; Bacilli; Caryophanales; Staphylococcaceae.
GCAGUCGAGCGACGGACGAGAAGCUUGCUUCUCUGAUGUUAGCGGCGGACGGGUGAGUAACACGUGGAUAACCUACCUAUAAGACUGGGAUAACUUCGGGAAACCGGAGCUAAUACCGGAUAAUAUUUUGAACCGCAUGGUUCAAAAGUGAAAGACGGUCUUGCUGUCACUUAUAGAUGGAUCCGCGCUGCAUUAGCUAGUUGGUAAGGUAACGGCUUACCAAGGCAACGAUGCAUAGCCGACCUGAGAGGGUGAUCGGCCACACUGGAACUGAGACACGGUCCAGACUCCUACGGGAGGCAGCAGUAGGGAAUCUUCCGCAAUGGGCGAAAGCCUGACGGAGCAACGCCGCGUGAGUGAU